Eimeria brunetti is the source of this 1779-nucleotide non-coding RNA. Lineage: Eukaryota; Apicomplexa; Conoidasida; Eucoccidiorida; Eimeriidae. The record is from Rfam.
AACCUGGUUGAUCCUGCCAGGAGUCAUAUGCUUGUCUCAAAGGUUAAGCCAUGCAUCUCUAAGUAUAAACAUUUACACGGUGAAACUGCGAAUGUCUCAUUAAAACAGUUUUAGUUUAUUUGAUGGUCAUUUUUACAUGGAUAACUAUGCUAAUUCUAUGGCUAAUACAUGCGCAUAGGCUUCCUUCAUUGAAGGGGCUGUGUUUGUUAGAUACAAAACCAACCCAGCUUGGUGAUUCAUAGUAACCGAACGGAUCGCCGUUGGUUUUCGGGCCCGCGCUGGAGCAUUCAAGUUUCUGACCUUUCAGCAACGGUAGGGUAUUGGCCUACCGUGACAGUGACGGGUAACGGGGAAUUAGGGUUCGAUCCCGGAGAGGGAGCCUGAGAAACGGCUACCACAUAUAAGGAAGGCAGCAGGCGCGCAAAUUACCGAAUGAAAACAGUUUCGAGGUAGUGAUGAGAAAUAACAAUACAGGGCAUUUAAUGCUUUGUAGUUGGAAUGAUGGGAAUGUAAAACCCUUCCAGAGUAACAAUUGGAUGGCAAGUCUGGUGCCAGCAGCCGCGGUAGUUCCAGCUCCAAUAGUGUAGAUUAGAGUUGUUGCAGUUAAAAUGCUCGUAGUUGGAUUUCUGUCGUGGUCAGCCUGCGCUGCCUGUAUGGGUGUGCGCGUUGUUCGCUCGCGGUUUCCUUCCGGUAGCCUCCGGCUCUUCAUUGCGUUGGUAGGUGUUCUGGGACUUUUACUUUGAGAAAAAUAGGGUUUUUCAAGCAGGCUUGUUGCCCUGAAUACUGCAGCAUGGAAUAAUAAGAUAGGACCUCGGUUAUAUUGUUGGUUUCUAGGACCAAGGUAAUGAUUAAUAGGUGCAGUUGGGGGCAUUCGUAUUUAGCUGACAAAUGUGAAAUUCUUGGUUUUGCUAGAGACGAACUACUGCGAAAGCAUUUGCCAAAAAUGUUUUCAUUAAUUAAGAACGACAGUAGCGCGUUUGAAGACGAUUAGAUACCGUCGUAACCUCUACCAUAAACUAUGCCGACUAGAGAUAGGGAAAUGCCUACCUUGGCUUCUCCUGCCUCUCAUGACAAAUCAAAGUCUCUGGGUUCUGGGGGCCGUAUGGGCGAAAGGCUGAAACUUAGAGGAAUCGACGGUGGGGCACCACCAGGAGUGGAGCCUGCGGAUCAAUUUGACUCAACACGGGGAAACUCACCAGGUCCAGGCAUGGGAAGGAUAGACAGAUUGAUAGCUCCUUCUUGAUUCUACGGGUGGUGGUGCAUGGCCGUUCUUAGUUGGUGGGGAGAUCUGUCUGGUUAAUUUCGAUAACGAACGAGACCUUGGCCUGCUAAACAGGGUCGGUGACCUCGGUCACCGCAUCGCUUCUUAGAGGGACUUUGAGUGUCUAACGCAGGGAAGUCCGAAGCAAUAACAGGUCUGUGAUGCCCUUAGAUGUUCUGGGCCGCACGCGCGCUACACUGAUGCAUGCAACGAGUUCUUACCUUGACCGACGGGGCUGGGUAACCUUGUGAAGGUGCAUCGUGAUGGGGAUAGGUUAUUGCAAUUAUUUACCUUCAAAAAGAAAUGCCUCGUAGGCGCAAUUCAGCAGCUUGCCCCGAAUAAGUCCCUGUCUCUUGUACACACCGCCAGUCGCUGCAACCGAUGGAGGGCCCUGUAAAUUCAUCGGGCUGGCAAGCCCCAAAGUGGGGCUGGUGGGAAAGUCGUGUAAAUAGAACCCUCUAAAGGAUGCAAAGGUCAUAAUACAGUUUUCUGUAGGUGAACCUGCGAAAGGAACAUUC